GUAGACAAGUCAGUCGCAGCGCCAAUGUCGGCGCCGCGACUGACUUUAACUGUUUACAUGAAGUAAGUACAUAGUAGUGGUGCGUUUCUCACGAUGAGCACACGUGUGUGAAGUCAGUGGGAAAAAUGAAUUCGCGAAAACAACUGAAACGACGAUUUAAU
Molecule: long non-coding RNA, 161 nt
Organism: Pieris napi
Lineage: Eukaryota; Metazoa; Arthropoda; Insecta; Lepidoptera; Pieridae
Exons: 3
Source: RefSeq, a predicted model, not a curated record